AGACUUGCAUGCAUUAAUUUUGUUCCUAAAUUUUAUACUAACUUCUUUUCUAAGUGUUUUUAUUUUGUAGGUAAAGCUUAUGGGAGACGAGAGGAUCCGCGAAUAUCCUUCGAACUCGAAGGAUAUCCCAUAACAGGGAGUAUCUCCUACUUUUUCCUUUAAUUUACGCUUUUCAUUUAUUUUAUUUCUUGCAUAUCCCGGGACUUGCAUGUAUUAAUUUUGUUCCUAAAUUUUAUACUAACUUGUUUUUUAAGUGUUUUUAUUUUGUAGGUAAAAGCUUAU
This is a long non-coding RNA of Andrographis paniculata, 282 nucleotides long. RefSeq lists it as uncharacterized. The transcript has 2 exons. NCBI's taxonomy places the organism in Eukaryota, Viridiplantae, Streptophyta, Magnoliopsida, Lamiales, Acanthaceae. The record is from RefSeq and is a predicted model, not a curated record.